CGGACGGGUGAGUAACACGUGGAUAACCUACCUAUAAGACUGGGAUAACUUCGGGAAACCGGAGCUAAUACCGGAUAAUAUAUUGAAUCGCAUGGUUCAAUAGUGAAAGACGGUUUUGCUGUCACUUAUAGAUGGAUCCGCGCCGCAUUAGCUAGUUGGUAAGGUAACGGCUUACCAAGGCAACGAUGCGUAGCCGACCUGAGAGGGUGAUCGGCCACACUGGAACUGAGACACGGUCCAGACUCCUACGGGAGGCAGCAGGU
Molecule: ribosomal RNA, 263 nt
Filed under: uncultured Staphylococcus sp.
Lineage: Bacteria; Bacillati; Bacillota; Bacilli; Caryophanales; Staphylococcaceae
Description: partial 16S ribosomal RNA
Rfam family: Bacterial small subunit ribosomal RNA
Source: RNAcentral